RNAcentral lists this transfer RNA (75 nucleotides) under Anaerolineae bacterium. RNAcentral's name for it is "tRNA-Lys". It matches the Rfam family "tRNA". From Rfam's summary of the family: Transfer RNA (tRNA) molecules are approximately 80 nucleotides in length. Their secondary structure includes four short double-helical elements and three loops (D, anti-codon, and T loops). The record is from RNAcentral. RNAcentral also lists the same sequence under 1 other name. Lineage: Bacteria; Bacillati; Chloroflexota; Anaerolineae.
GGCUCCGUAGCUCAACGGCAGAGCAGUUGACUCUUAAUCAAUUGGUUGGGGGUUCAAAUCCCUCCGGAGUCACCA